CAGUAGCCGCGGGAAAACGUAGGGUGCGAGCGUUAUCCGGAAUUAUUGGGCGUAAAGAGCUCGUAGGCGGUUUGUCGCGUCUGCUGUGAAAACCUGAGGCUCAACCUCGGGCUUGCAGUGGGUACGGGCAGACUAGAGUGCAGUAGGGGAGACUGGAACUCCUGGUGUAGCGGUGGAAUGCGCAGAUAUCAGGAAGAACACCGAUGGCGAAGGCAGGUCUCUGGGCUGUAACUGACGCUGAGGAGCGAAAGCGUGGGGAGCGAACAGGAUUAGAUACCCCUGUAGUCCCUGUCUCUUAUAC
RNAcentral lists this ribosomal RNA (301 nucleotides) under uncultured bacterium. RNAcentral describes it as "partial 16S ribosomal RNA". It matches the Rfam family "Bacterial small subunit ribosomal RNA", at positions 509 to 807 of the family's 1533-position model. The record is from RNAcentral.